UUCAAGUGGUCUGCGGGAAAAAAGUUUGAGAAUCACUGUGCUAAGGAUAUUGAGCAGAUAGUACAAGAGUGUAGGUUUAAUAUAAUGGUACAGGACAUUCUACAAGCAGCCCUUCUCCACCCCUAGAAAUGGCCAGUUUAGGUGUAGCAGAGUGUUCACAUUGAUUUUGCUUGAGAAGACAAGCAAUGCUUCCUUGCAGUGCUUGGGGAAUCAUUCAGUGUGGUUAUAAAUUAUUCCAGCACCCACAAGAGUCUCAUGUAGCUAGUCAGCAAAAGUGACCCACACCUGGGGUAACUAAUACUAAAGGAGACUCAAACCCCCAGAAGGCCUCAUGUCUUUGCAAUUUUGUUUUUACUGAAUGCAUGUGCCUGUCCGUUGAAGCCUCUGCCAGCAGAGAAGAUCUCUCACAUUGGAAAUAAACCAUGCCUAGAUGGUCAGUUUCCACCCAUCAGAUCCAGGAUCACAAAAAGCUCUGGGGAUUCACGUAUCUGAGUGAACAAUGGAUUUGAGACCAGAGAGGUGCAAAGUAGCUGAUUGAAGGGGAGCUGCAAUGGGAUCUCCAAGAGACCUGGACAGAUUGGCUGGUGAGAGAGGUAAAAUCCCAAGGGUUCAGUUCUGGAGAUGUUACUCAUGCAAGCAGCUUCCUUGGCUUACUCGCAAGGACUUCAGGAUGGAGCUCUUCAUGUUAGUCUGACUCUUGGGGUAUGUGUACAGUUAUUGAGAUGCCACUGCUUCUCACACGGCUUUUGUGAGAUCAGUUGAAAUGCAGCACUCUCAUUGGUCAGCAGAGAGGGUGAAAUCAUCAUCAAGGUGUCAUAGUGCUCAUGACCUCAUCUCUCGUGUAUGUUUUGUCAGAGCUAGCCUUGCCCCUCAGUGUCAGAGUGAGGCAGUGACAGGUGCAGUCAAUAACCAAAGGCAGUUCAGUCUUUUUAUCGCAGUAAAGAAAUUGCUUCCCCAGUUCUGCCAGGGCUUUCCAAGCCAGACUGUUUUGCUGUUAGAGAUGGGCCCAAGUCAAAUGGAUCUGGAUUUUGAUCCCCUCCUUCAAAAACUUGAGAGGGGAGUGGGGGGUGCUGGGAUCUAGGGUUUUGGUUCAGCCGCAUCUCUAGUUGCAGAGCAGGGCAGUGGGAACCCUCAGCAAAGGAUCUCAUCUUCCAAUAGGUAAGUGCAAUGAGUCACUGGACUCUACUUAGCCGGAGUUAGUAGGGAUGGCUGCCCACUCCCCAGCUGUCCAGGGUUCACUCCCUCUGUGGGAGUGAGGAAGAGAAAGAAAAGGCUCACAGGUCUCCCCGAGAUCUCACUAACUGAUGUAGCCAUAAUCAACACUAGAGAUGGGACUGAGAUGCUAAAUUCAGAUCCAGAUUUCAAACACCACAAUGCCCGAAUCCUGGGUUUGGUUGGAUUCAUUAUAAGGAUUGGGGGGUGAGGGUGAACAGCUCUGAAAUUCUGGUCCAGAUCCUGGUUCAGAUUCCAAACCUCCCCAGAGUUUGGGAGUCCUUUGGUCUGUGAGUUUGGUUCAGGCCCUUCCCCAGUUAGUACAGCCUGAUACUGGCUGAAAUAAGGCAGCUUGAGAGAAAGUAAGAGACAUGGGUAAUGACCAAGGUGUUAAAUCUAUGCAACAUAACACAAAAAGGACCCAUGCGCUAAGGGGACUUGAUGAGUGUUGAUACAUUUCUGCCAGGGAACAGCAUGAAGAGUGAACAGGAAUUAUUCACGGCUUCACAUGGUAGUAGGAGCAGUAGCGAUGGCCAAAGCCAAAGAGGGGAAAACAGAGCUUAGAGACUAGGGAAAUAUAGGGAAAUAUAUUAAUAGUGAGAGGGACUGGUUAUUGGAAUAAACUAGCAGGGGCAGUUCCACCAGUGCAGAGAUUCAUGAAAAGCUGAGAAAAGGCUUUAGCACAAAUGGCAUUUGGGUGGGAUUUUUAAGAGUACCUAGGUGAGGUAGGAGCAUAAUCAAAAUAAGUGGAACUUGUAUCCCAGGGCACUUUUGCAGAUCCCACCCAUAGUCAUUAAGCAGGCUUCAGACACGAUGAUCUGUUGUCCAUAACCCUUUAUCAAUGUUUCUCUCUCCUUUUCUCGUAUAUAGUUCUCUCUUUUUCAUACAGUUCCUUUCCUAUCUGUCUCUCCCUUCAUGCCUGUCUUGAACUUUCUGGCUUAGUGGAUCUUCUAUUCUAUAUCCGUUUGCCUCUUUUAACCAAAAUGCUUUGCAAUUAUUAAAGAUUGAUUUUUUGGGGGGUAAAUAUUCAAGUACUGGCCCAAGGGUGUUUCCUGGCCCUACUGUGCAUGAUUCUAUGGACUCUGUUGCCUUGAAUGGAACCAGAAAACUAGUUCUAAAAGGAAGAACAAGGAUUCAAUUCUGGUGGAAGUUGGGUGGUUGAAAUAGUGGACUGGGGAGAUAGAACAGUCAAAAUGCAGCAACCUCAUAGGGGAGCUGCAAUUCAAAAGGGCUGUCUCAAUGGGGAUGUCACAUUGGGGAUGGCACCGUAUUUCUAUCACUGUCUUUCAUGUCCCAGGCCCUUGGGGUCAGGCUGGGGGAUAGGGAGGCAGAGCCAACACCAAAGCUGAACUGUACCAUUUUGCUAGACUAAUUAAACUUCUCUGCACAGGUCUCACAGUGACAAGCAUCUCCAGCUUACAAAGACGGAGAGGCACAAAGUGCUGCAGCAAGAGACUGGGACCCAUAAGUAAAGCUGCCCAAGCCCCUCAGGACAGCAUCAGCACCCACACGUCACAGAGAAGCCAGCAUUCAACGUUUUUAGGACUGGAUUGUUGAGUUCCAUGGUGACAGCUGUGGCUUGCUCCGCCUCUUGCUUAGCCCUCCUCAGCCGUUGGUUUCCCUG
Chelonoidis abingdonii (Abingdon island giant tortoise) is the source of this 2836-nucleotide non-coding RNA. The record is from RefSeq and is a predicted model, not a curated record. Lineage: Eukaryota; Metazoa; Chordata; Testudines; Testudinidae.